Molecule: ribosomal RNA, 468 nt
Filed under: uncultured bacterium
Lineage: Bacteria
Description: partial 16S ribosomal RNA
Rfam family: Bacterial small subunit ribosomal RNA
Source: RNAcentral
GACGAACGCUGGCGGCGUGCUUAACACAUGCAAGUCGAACGGAAAGGCCCUGCUUUUGUGGGGUGCUCGAGUGGCGAACGGGUGAGUAACACGUGAGUAACCUGCCCUUGAUUUUGGGAUAACUUCAGGAAACUGGGGCUAAUACCGGAUAGGAGCUCCUGCUGCAUGGUGGGGGUUGGAAAGUUUCGGCGGUUGGGGAUGGACUCGCGGCUUAUCAGCUUGUUGGUGGGGUAGUGGCUUACCAAGGCUUUGACGGGUAGCCGGCCUGAGAGGGUGACCGGCCACAUUGGGACUGAGAUACGGCCCAGACUCCUACGGGAGGCAGCAGUGGGGAAUAUUGCACAAUGGGCGGAAGCCUGAUGCAGCAACGCCGCAUGCGGGAUGACGGCCUUCGGGUUGUAAACCGCUUUCGCCUGUGACGAAGCGUGAGUGACGGUAAUGGGUAAAGAAGCACCGGCUAACUACGUG